Non-coding RNA from Dermacentor andersoni, 1094 nucleotides. Lineage: Eukaryota; Metazoa; Arthropoda; Arachnida; Ixodida; Ixodidae. The record is from RefSeq and is a predicted model, not a curated record.
AAGUCAAUAUACGUAGAAUACUCUGCAAAAUUAUGCGGGUGAGGGGAUGUCAAACAAUGGGUCAGGAAAUGCGUUGUUUUUCUGCAAAACAAAAGCUGAUUGCCAUUACAUAAGUCACUUUAGCAUCAUGAGACUGCUGCUUGAUAAAUUCAGAAAUAAACCAAAAAACAAGACAUGCAAAAAUAAAAAACAAUUUAAUGAUGCUCUCUCCACACUGGGAUAAAUAAAAACAAACACAUCACAUCUAAUGUGGACAUAUCAGACGCCUUCUGAAACACUAAAGGAAAAAUUCAGUUUUGAGCUAUGGCACUUGCCACAUAGAUGUGGGGGGCCUUGCACUAAUAGUGAUAGUUACCACUGCAUUUAGAAAUUGAAAGCAUUCAUGCAGACAAGGAUGAUUCUUUAUAUUUUUGGCUACCACUUCAAAUGCCUCCACCAAGUGUUACAAUGCUGCACGCAGCCAUACUAAGGAUCUCGCAGCAACACCUGCAGGUAAAAAGCAGAAGCAGUCAAAGUGAUGGUGUGUACUGGACACUAUGUUUGAAAACUUUUAGGCAAGAAGAGUGCAAGAAGCAGACAUAACAACUGCAUUUAUUUCCAUAAUUCCCCAUUUGAAUGGCCUUUUCUUUUUGCUUAGACAAUGCCUACGCCUAGCCACAGCAGCUCCCUCAUACAGACUCCGCAAGCCAAGAGGCCGUGGAGGCAAAUGCAGGCAGCCAGCACACCUCGAACAGCCACCUUGACUGCGGGUGUGUCACCCUAGUCGCCAAGGAAACAUCUGAGGGAAAGCGACAGGCAAUGUGAACAGCCACUUCUCCAUGUAAACGAUACUCUUUCUCUCGGAUGACUCCUACGCCUCGCCACGACAGCACACUUGUGCACAAAGAUGCCGCGGAGGCACGUGCAGGUCAGAGGCAAGAAGCAGUGGCACUGGUGUCGACAUUCACCCAAUUUCGUUUUCUUACACUGAGGCAGCCAGCACACCUCGAACAGCCACCUUGACUGCGGGUGUGUCAGUAGAUUCCUGUUGUACAUAUGCUCAUAAUAAACUUCAGUAAACUUGAACUUGAUAAUAAACUUGAAGGCAAAUGGGA